Molecule: ribosomal RNA, 492 nt
Filed under: uncultured bacterium
Lineage: Bacteria
Description: bacterial SSU rRNA
Rfam family: Bacterial small subunit ribosomal RNA
Source: RNAcentral
AACUAACGCUGGCGGCGUGCCUAACACAUGCAAGUCGUACGAGAAAGUUGGCUUCGGCCGAUGAGUAAAGUGGCGCACGGGUGAGUAAUGCGUGGAUAAUCUGCCCUUUAGUUGGGAAUAACGUACCGAAAGGUGCGCUAAUACCUGAUAAUACUGCAUAACUACUGUUGUGUAGUCAAAGAAGGCCUCUGUUUACAAGCUUUUGCUGAAGGAUGAGUCCGCGUACCAUUAGCUGGUUGGUGGGGUAAUGGCCUACCAAGGCUACGAUGGUUAGCUGGUCUGAGAGGAUGAUCAGCCACACUGGAACUGAGACACGGUCCAGACUCCUACGGGAGGCAGCAGUGAGGAAUAUUGCGCAAUGGGGGCAACCCUGACGCAGCAACGCCGCGUGAGUGAGGAAGGUUUUCGGACCGUAAAGCUCCGUCGAGCGGGAAGAAAUGUAUCAUGGCUAAUAUCCAUGAUACUUGACGGUACCGCUAAAGGAAGCACCGG